This 305-nucleotide small RNA is filed under the name Histoplasma ohiense. Its description in RNAcentral is "hypothetical lncRNA". The record is from RNAcentral. Lineage: Eukaryota; Fungi; Ascomycota; Eurotiomycetes; Onygenales; Ajellomycetaceae.
ACAGCAAAUUACGGAUCAUGCUUGGGAGAAUGUUUUGAACAAUCUCACAACAGACAGGGAGAGCUGGGAAGAUUUGAUGUACAGUACAAUGAUUUCUAUCUCCUUGUACCAUCCAGAUGACAAGAACAAAUUCGUUUUCAGCAUGGCAUCAUAGUGAUGCUUUUCCCGUGUGCAUUUUAACAUGCACGAGUUACACGAUUUCCAAAUCAUCGUGAUGUUGGGAGGUUAAUGAAUAUUACAUAGUUAGUUCAGCUUUUACCGAGUUUAAGGCUUUGCUUAGCUGCAACAAAGACAACGAAAGGGAA